This 2898-nucleotide ribosomal RNA is filed under the name human gut metagenome. Its description in RNAcentral is "bacterial LSU rRNA". It matches the Rfam family "Bacterial large subunit ribosomal RNA". The record is from RNAcentral.
UAAAGCAAGAAAGGGCGUAUGGGGAAUGCCUAGGCACACUCCGGCGAAGAAGGACGCAGCAAACAGCGAAAUGCGACGGGAAGCGGUAAGCACGCAAAGAUCCGUCGAUAUCCGAAUGGGGGAACCCGCAUGGAGUCAAAUCCAUGGAUCACAUGUUGAAUACAUAGACAUGAUGAGGCGAGACGCAGGGAACUGAAACAUCUAAGUACCUGCAGGAAGAGAAAAUAAGAAUGAUUUUCUGAGUAGCGGCGAGCGAAAGGGAAAGAGCCCAAACCGAUCUGAGGAUCGGGGUAGUAGGAUCAUCAAUAAAUCUGACAGAGGAUCAUAGAGGAAUCACAUGGGAAGGUGAGCGAGAGAGGGUGAGAGCCCCGUACUCGAAAUGAGAGACUGGAGAGAGAUGACACCUGAGUAGGGCGGGACACGAGAAAUCCUGUCUGAAUCAGCCGGGACCAUCCGGCAAGGCUAAAUACGAGAGAGUGACCGAUAGUGAACCAGUACCGUGAGGGAAAGGUGAAAAGAACCCCGGGAGGGGAGUGAAAGAGAACCUGAAACCAUAUGCCUACAAGAAGUCAGAGCCCGUUAAAGGGUGAUGGCGUGCCUUUUGUAGAAUGAACCGGCGAGUUACUGUAUGGAGCGAGGUUAAGCAGGAUAUGCGGAGCCGAAGCGAAAGCGAGUCUUAAGAGGGCGCGAGUUGCAUGCAGUAGACCCGAAACCGGGUGAUCUAGCCAUGACCAGGUUGAAGUUGGGGUAAAACCCGAUGGAGGACCGAACCGACCCCCGUUGAAACGUUGGCGGAUGAGUUGUGGCUAGGGGUGAAAUUCCAAUCGAACCCGGAGAUAGCUGGUUCUCCCCGAAAUAGCUUUAGGGCUAGCGUCGAGGUAGAGAGUUGCGUGAAGGUAGAGCACUGAAUAUGUGAUGGCCCCAUCUCGGGGUACUGAGCAUAAUCAAACUGCGAAUGUCACGCCAACAUGCUCGGCAGUCAGACAGCGGGUGAUAAGGUCCGUUGUCAAGAGGGAAACAGCCCAGACCAUCAGCUAAGGUCCCAAAAUGUAUGCUAAGUGGAAAAGGAUGUGGAGAUGUACAGACAACUAGGAGGUUGGCUCAGAAGCAGCCAUCCUUUAAAGAGUGCGUAACAGCUCACUAGUCGAAUGACUCUGCGCCGAUAAUUUACCGGGGCUAAGCAUACUACCGAAGCUAUGGAUCCCAAGGGAUGGUAGGGGAGCGUUCCAUGAACGGAGAAGUACGACCGAAAGGACGUGUGGAGAUCAUGGAAGAGAGAAUGCCGGUGUGAGUAGCGGAACGUGGGUGAGAAUCCCACGCACCGAAAACCCAAGGUUUCCAGAGGAAGGUUCGUCCGCUCUGGGUAAGUCGGGACCUAAGGCGAGGCCGAAAGGCGUAGUCGAUGGACAACAGGUAGAGAUUCCUGUACCCGUAUAUAUGUGAAGGAAUGACGGAGAGAGGAAGCUGCAGCCAGCGGCUGGAAGAGCUGGUGCAAGCGAGAUAUCGGGAUGGCAGGCAAAUCCACCAUCCGAAACGAGAAGGCGUGAAGCGUACGGAAAGCUAAGGCGAGUACGGAAGGCAGUGGAGGAGCUUCCAAGAAAAGUUUCUAACGAAAGUAUAUGUGACCCGUACCGAAAAUGGACACACAUGGGUGAGGAGAGAAUCCUAAGGUGAGCGAGAGAACUAUAGCUAAGGAACUCUGCAAAAUGACUCCGUAACUUAGGGAGAAGGAGUGCUCAUAGAGAUAUGAGCCGCAGUGAAACGGCCCAAGCGACUGUUUACCAAAAACACAGCUCUCUGCUAAGCCGCAAGGCGAAGUAUAGGGGGUGACGCCUGCCCGGUGCUGGAAGGUUAAGGGGAGGGGUUAACGCAAGUGAAGCCCUGAACUGAAGCCCCAGUAAACGGCGGCCGUAACUAUAACGGUCCUAAGGUAGCGAAAUUCCUUGUCAGGUAAGUUCUGACCCGCACGAAUGGUGUAACGAUUUGGGCACUGUCUCAACAACCCGCCCGGCGAAAUUGUAGUACCGGUGAAGAUGCCGGUUACCCGCGACUAGACGGAAAGACCCCAUGGAGCUUUACUACAACUUAAUAUUGAGUAAUUGCAAAUCAUGUAGAGGAUAGGUGGGAGGCUAUGAAGUAAUGGCGCUAGCUAUUAUGGAGCCGCCCUUGGAAUACCACCCUUGAUUUACAGUUAUUCUAACUUCCUCCCUGGAUGGGAGGGAAGACAGUGUUAGGCGGGUAGUUUGGCUGGGGCGGCCGCCUCCCAAAUAGUAACGGAGGCGCCCUAAGGUACCCUCAGUAUGGUCGGAAAUCAUACGUAGAGCGCAAAUGCAUAAGGGUGCUUGACUGCGAGACACACAGGUCGAGCAGGUACGAAAGUAGGGAUUAGUGACCAGGCGGUUUCAUUGUGGAAUGGCCGUCGCUUAACGGAUAAAAGCUACCCUGGGGAUAACAGGCUGAUCGCGUCCAAGAGUUCACUUCGACGACGCGGUUUGGCACCUCGAUGUCGGCUCAUCACAUCCUGGAGGGGCAGUACCUUCCAAGGGUUAGGCUGUUCGCCUAUUAAAGUGGUACGCGAGCUGGGUUCAAAACGUCGUGAGACAGUUUGGUCCCUAUCUGUCGUGGGCGUAGGAAGUUUGAAAGGAUCUGACCCUAGUACGCAAGGACCAGGUUGGACGUAACUACGGUACACCGGUUGUUUCGCCAGAAGCAUAGCCGGGUAGCCGCUUACGGAUCGAAUAAACGCUGAAAGCAUCUAAGCGUGAAAUCGUCCUUAAGAUGAGACUUCCGAUUCUAACGAAUUAAGAUCCCUUCUAUGUUAGGAGGUUGAUAGGUCACAGAUGUACGCAUAGUGAUAUGUUUAGUCGAGUGAUACUAAUAGAUCGAUCACUUAUUUCA